AGUCGAGCGGAGAUGAGGUGCUUGCACCUUAUCUUAGCGGCGGACGGGUGAGUAAUGCUUAGGAAUCUGCCUAUUAGUGGGGGACAACAUUCCGAAAGGAAUGCUAAUACCGCAUACGUCCUACGGGAGAAAGCAGGGGAUCUUCGGACCUUGCGCUAAUAGAUGAGCCUAAGUCGGAUUAGCUAGUUGGUGGGGUAAAGGCCUACCAAGGCGACGAUCUGUAGCGGGUCUGAGAGGAUGAUCCGCCACACUGGGACUGAGACACGGCCCAGACUCCUACGGGAGGCAGCAGUGGGGAAUAUUGGACAAUGGGGGGAACCCUGAUCCAGCCAUGCCGCGUGUGUGAAGAAGGCCUUAUGGUUGUAAAGCACUUUAAGCGAGGAGGAGGCUACUGGGACUAAUACUCUUGGAUAGCGGACGUUACUCGCAGAAUAAGCACCGGCUAACUCUGUGCCAGCAGCCGCGGUAAUACAGAGGGUGCGAGCGUUAAUCGGAUUUACUGGGCGUAAAGCGUGCGUAGGCGGCUUUUUAAGUCGGAUGUGAAAUCCCCGAGCUUAACUUGGGAAUUGCAUUCGAUACUGGGAAGCUAGAGUAUGGGAGAGGAUGGUAGAAUUCCAGGUGUAGCGGUGAAAUGCGUAGAGAUCUGGAGGAAUACCGAUGGCGAAGGCAGCCAUCUGGCCUAAUACUGACGCUGAGGUACGAAAGCAUGGGGAGCAAACAGGAUUAGAUACCCUGGUAGUCCAUGCCGUAAACGAUGUCUACUAGCCGUUGGGGCCUUUGAGGCUUUAGUGGCGCAGCUAACGCGAUAAGUAGACCGCCUGGGGAGUACGGUCGCAAGACUAAAACUCAAAUGAAUUGACGGGGGCCCGCACAAGCGGUGGAGCAUGUGGU
RNAcentral lists this ribosomal RNA (891 nucleotides) under uncultured bacterium. Its description in RNAcentral is "bacterial SSU rRNA". It matches the Rfam family "Bacterial small subunit ribosomal RNA", at positions 60 to 945 of the family's 1533-position model. The record is from RNAcentral.